Brassica rapa (field mustard) is the source of this 858-nucleotide long non-coding RNA. RefSeq lists it as uncharacterized. The record is from RefSeq and is a predicted model, not a curated record. Lineage: Eukaryota; Viridiplantae; Streptophyta; Magnoliopsida; Brassicales; Brassicaceae.
UUUUUUUUUUUUUUGAACAAUUGGAUAUCUUAUAGAUAAAAUCGAAAGUGCAGAAAAACAUAAAGAUGGGCUAGUCCGUGCGUAAACAAAGAGAUAAAACAUAGGCUUUAAGGGCCUGCUUAGCUAGAAGAUCAGCAUCGCUGUUCUGGGAACGAGAGAUGUGAUUGAAGGUGAUAGAAUCGAAGCUGGAAGAGAGACUCUUGAUGUCUUGGAGCACACCAUAGAUUUCCUUAAGCUGAUUCGGGAUAGAGAUUGCUCCGAUGAGCGUUGCGCAAUCGGAGAGGAACGCGACCGAGGGGAGUUCCAGUUUCAUUACUUCUGUGAUUCCUUUACGGAGGGCCAGUGAUUCGGCCAUGAGAGGGGAGCCAACGUUGUCGAUGAUGCAUGUGCCUGACGAGAAGGAGCCCAAUUGUUAAUUAGUGAAUCGCCAAGCAGUACCUGCUCGCUUUGAUGACGCCUCCCAAGCUGCAUCUACGAAACAACAGAUUGUGUGGUUUUUCCUGGGGGCUUGUCGCAAGGGUAAUCUCACAGGUACCAGCAGAUUCAUGGGAGAACUGGAGUUCUAAUCCCUGUAGGUGGGAGGCAGAUCAUUUCUCUGGCUUUCACCAUCAACGUUUUGAAAUCUGCCUCCUCCUCAAUGCGAAUUGGUGACUUGAGGGGGAUAAAACGGCAAACUGCUGUGGCAAAGGGGCAUUGGAAGAAGACGUGCAUUGCUGUUGAUAUUAAUAGGUCUUACCAAGUAAAGUAUGCAAACCGUUUUGUGAGAACCCACUGUUAGUAUGCACCAAACCGAUAAUGUAGACUAUACAUGUAUUGAAGGUUAGAAAAAUCACAAGAAAAUGUCAUUUUUUAGUCAUC